Molecule: RNA transcript, 7034 nt
Organism: Spinacia oleracea (spinach)
Lineage: Eukaryota; Viridiplantae; Streptophyta; Magnoliopsida; Caryophyllales; Amaranthaceae
Exons: 5
Source: RefSeq, a predicted model, not a curated record
UCUCAAAAACAUAUUAUAUAAUUACUACUAAUACUUUGUAAUUUCAUCGGCAAAGAAAAUGGCUCAAGCAAACGCCAAGUCUCAAGAUGUUAGAACAAUACGGACCUUAUGGCUCUCAAUUACCGGAAAAUUAUCGCAUGCAACUUGAAGAUGGUGAAUUUAUCAAAGAACUAAAAGUGGGGCAUGGAUACAUUGUGGACGCACUUGAAGUCUUGGUAGCUACGCCAGAUGGGUCGACCGAUAUUUACCACUUCGGCGGCGACCAAGGAGAUGAGAACAAGGUAAUUAUACUUUGACUUUUGACACUAUUCAUAAAUUUCAACUUAACUAUCAUUUGUAAUUUAUGGGCAAGAAACAUAUAUUCGUGUCGAGUCUUGUUUGAUUCGUCUCGAUAAGUACUUUCGGAAUAUCAACUUUUUAUAAUUUUUAUGAAUACAAAAUUAGAGAUAUUAAUGUCUAAACAUUUACAUUGACAAGCUUGAAAAGGUAAACUGUCCCCAUUAUUUUACAACAAAGGGAGUACUUCCUCCGUUUCUGAAAGUUCUUUAAGCUUUGGAUUACGUGUCCAAAAUAUGAAAACUUUGACCGUAAAUUCUCACUAUUAUAUACAUCAAAACGUUACAUGUAAGAUCUUGUUAGAUUGGUCUCGGUAUGUAUUUUCAAAAUAUCAACUUUUUUUAAUUUUUUCAUAUACAAAAUUGGAUAUAUUACUCCCUCCGUCUCUUUUUGUUUUUUACGUUUUCCUUUUUUGGUGUUUCAAAAUGUUCUUUACAUUUCCUUUUAUAUUAUCACAUAAAUGAUUUAAUAUUCUAUCAAAAUUUGUACCCAAUUAUUAUAUUAACCAAUUAAAUCAAUUGAGUCAUUUAAUCUCUCAUACUUUUCCAUAAGACAUUAACUAUUUCUCAUUUUCCCAUAUCAGAAUUUUGAUAAGAGUGAAAACAUUAUAAAUAAACGUAAUUUUCCUCGUUUACAUGAAAAAACUUAGAAGAAUCUCAAUGCAUAUUAAUUAGUCGUUAAAACGCGUGUAAAAUACCAAACGUAAAAAACAAAAAGAGACGGAGGGAGUAGUACGUAGUUAAAUAUUGCAUUGGAGUCCGUGCAAAUAGUAACUGUAAAGAACUUUCUGAAACAGACGUAAUAUAUCUUUAUAUCUUUUUCGUCGUACUCUCGUUCUAUACUUCUAAAAAACAAGUCCGGCCUCUAACUUAUAUUUAUUGCCACAUUUUAAUUUUACAUGCAUAUUUAAAGAUUGUAUUGAAGGAUAACGAAUACGUUACCAGAAUUAGUGGGAGUUAUGGAAACUAUGCACACCAACACAACGAUGUGCUUAUUGGAACACUAAACAUACACACUAAUCUGAAGAGACAUGCUACAUCGCUGGUGGACAGCGACAUAAAGAGUCCAUACCUAGGGUAAAUGGUAUUUUCGUUACAUGAGUUGAAAAGUCAAACAAAUUACUAAAUAUCGGUAAUAUGACAGUAAUUGAUACAACAAUGACAGUAUUUAAAUACAACAAUGACAGUAUUUAUGUAAACGAUGAUAAUACUUAUAUAACACUUGUAUACAUAUUUUUAUCUAUUCGUUUAAUAUGCAACACUUUUAUCCAUUCAUUUAAGUGAUCCCUUACUUUUUCUAUUUCAUUACACUUGUAUACAUAAUUUCCUUUAUUUUGAUGAUUGUGACAAUAUUUUAAUACAACAAUGACAGUAUAUAUAUAACAAUGACAAUACUUAUAUUACCGAUGACAGUAUAUAACAAGUUAGCAACACUAUUUAAGUGUGGGCCAUCUUUUCAACUUUUUUUUUUUAAGGGUGGGUAUGGAUUUUUUUUGUCGCUGGUGGACAGCGAUGUAGCCAACCUCCUAAUCUGAAUCCGAACGGAUACGGACCAUUUGGACAAGGCAGGGAUAUUACAAACGUGUCCACAUUUUCAUCACCGGACAAGAGUGAUGGCUACGUUGUUGUUGGAUUUUUCGGAAGGAGCAACAACUAUCUCGAGUCUGUUGGAGUAUCCAUCCAAAAGAUACAGGGAUAAAAAUGAAGAAAUGCAAUGUAUGGUGAUAAGGUGCUCCCAUCUUGAUUGUUGACACACCUCCAAUAUAAUUUACGUAUUUUCGAAUAAGCCACCUCUAUAUUUAUACUAUAUAUUAAAAAGCGUUUCUACAAACGUUUACAUGCCACGUGACGCUCUCCCUCAAUCCACAAAUCCAUGCCAUAUAUCCACUUUCAUUAUAUAGCAUAAGAUUUGAACCUGCAACGUCCACUUUCAACACUAGACCAUUAACCAAUUGAGCUACAAUCUUUUAGAUGUUAUCUAUGCAAAAUUAAAAUUAAUAUAAUAUAGAAAAAAUAUCAUCUAGAAAAAUUAUGUUUUGAAAAAACACAAACAAAAUUUCAUUAAAAAAAUAUGAUAAUUACUGUUAGUCACGGAAUAAUCCGGGACAUCGCCCGGACCUAAGGCCCUGUUCGGCAAAAGUAGCGGUAGCGGGUAGCGGUUCAGUAGCGGGUAGCGGUCAAUAGUAACGGGUAGCGGUCAAUAGUAGCGGGUAACGGUUAGCUGUCAAAGGUAGCGGGUAACUGAUAUGAGUGUUCGGUAAAAGUAGCGGUUGAUAUUAUAAAAUAAAAUAAAAGGUGAAAUAUUAUUUAAAACUUUAUUAUAAAUUUGUCAAACGCUACCCGCUACCUUAAACGCCUACUAAUUUCAACGUUUGACAAAAGCUACACAGCCGCUACCUCAACCGCUAACCGCUACCUAAAUUGCUACCUCGCCAAACACUUACAAAUUUUACAAGUAGCGUCUUGACUCGGUCAAAACGCUACCCGCUACCUCAAAAGCUACCGCCGAAUACGCCCAGUCACUUUAUUUAUUUAUUUAUUUUGACGGGUCACUUUAUUUAUUUUAUCAAGAGCAAGAAUGGGACACCAACACAACGAUGUGCUUAUUGGAACACUAAACAUACACACUAAUCUGAAGAGACAUGCUACAUCGCUGGUGGACAGCGACAUAAAGAGUCCAUACCUAGGGUAAAAUGGUAUUUUCGUUACAUGAGUUGAAAAGUCAAACAAAUUACUAAAUAUCGGUAAUAUGACAGUAAUUGAUACAACAAUGACAGUAUUUAAAUACAACAAUGACAGUAUUUAUGUAAACGAUGAUAAUACUUAUAUAACACUUGUAUACAUAUUUUUAUCUAUUCGUUUAAUAUGCAACACUUUUAUCCAUUCAUUUAAGUGAUCCCUUACUUUUUCUAUUUCAUUACACUUGUAUACAUAAUUUCCUUUAUUUUGAUGAUUGUGACAAUAUUUUAAUACAACAAUGACAGUAUAUAUAUAACAAUGACAAUACUUAUAUUACCGAUGACAGUAUAUAACAAGUUAGCAACACUAUUUAAGUGUGGGCCAUCUUUUCAACUUUUUUUUUUUAAGGGUGGGUAUGGAUUUUUUUUGUCGCUGGUGGACAGCGAUGUAGCCAACCUCCUAAUCUGAAUCCGAACGGAUACGGACCAUUUGGACAAGGCAGGGAUAUUACAAACGUGUCCACAUUUUCAUCACCGGACAAGAGUGAUGGCUACGUUGUUGUUGGAUUUUUCGGAAGGAGCAACAACUAUCUCGAGUCUGUUGGAGUAUCCAUCCAAAAGAUACAGGGAUAAAAAUGAAGAAAUGCAAUGUAUGGUGAUAAGGUGCUCCCAUCUUGAUUGUUGACACACCUCCAAUAUAAUUUACGUAUUUUCGAAUAAGCCACCUCUAUAUUUAUACUAUAUAUUAAAAAGCGUUUCUACAAACGUUUACAUGCCACGUGACGCUCUCCCUCAAUCCACAAAUCCAUGCCAUAUAUCCACUUUCAUUAUAUAGCAUAAGAUUUGAACCUGCAACGUCCACUUUCAACACUAGACCAUUAACCAAUUGAGCUACAAUCUUUUAGAUGUUAUCUAUGCAAAAUUAAAAUUAAUAUAAUAUAGAAAAAAUAUCAUCUAGAAAAAUUAUGUUUUGAAAAAACACAAACAAAAUUUCAUUAAAAAAAUAUGAUAAUUACUGUUAGUCACGGAAUAAUCCGGGACAUCGCCCGGACCUAAGGCCCUGUUCGGCAAAAGUAGCGGUAGCGGGUAGCGGUUCAGUAGCGGGUAGCGGUCAAUAGUAACGGGUAGCGGUCAAUAGUAGCGGGUAACGGUUAGCUGUCAAAGGUAGCGGGUAACUGAUAUGAGUGUUCGGUAAAAGUAGCGGUUGAUAUUAUAAAAUAAAAUAAAAGGUGAAAUAUUAUUUAAAACUUUAUUAUAAAUUUGUCAAACGCUACCCGCUACCUUAAACGCCUACUAAUUUCAACGUUUGACAAAAGCUACUCAACCGCUACCUCUACCGCUAACCGCUACCUAAAUUGCUACCUCGCCAAACACUUACAAAUUUUACAAGUAGCGUCUUGACUCGGUCAAAACGCUACCCGCUACCUCAAAAGCUACCGCCGAAUACGCCCAGUCACUUUAUUUAUUUAUUUAUUUUGACGGGUCACUUUAUUUAUUUUAUCAAGAGCAAGAAUGGGACACCAACACAACGAUGUGCUUAUUGGAACACUAAACAUACACACUAAUCUGAAGAGACAUGCUACAUCGCUGGUGGACAGCGACAUAAAGAGUCCAUACCUAGGGUAAAAUGGUAUUUUCGUUACAUGAGUUGAAAAGUCAAACAAAUUACUAAAUAUCGGUAAUAUGACAGUAAUUGAUACAACAAUGACAGUAUUUAAAUACAACAAUGACAGUAUUUAUGUAAACGAUGAUAAUACUUAUAUAACACUUGUAUACAUAUUUUUAUUUAUUCGUUUAAUAUGCAACACUUUUAUCCAUUCAUUUAAGUGAUCCCUUUACUUUUUCUAUUUCAUUACACUUGUAUACAUAAUUUCCUUUAUUUUGAUGAUUGUGACAAUAUUUUAAUACAACAAUGACAGUAUAUAUAUAACAAUGACAAUACUUAUAUUACCGAUGACAGUAUAUAACAAGUUAGCAACACUAUUUAAGUGUGGGCCAUCUUUUCAACUUUUUUUUUUUUAAGGGUGGGUAUGGAUUUUUUUUGUCGCUGGUGGACAGCGAUGUAGCCAACCUCCUAAUCUGAAUCCGAACGAAUACGGACCAUUUGGACAAGGCAGGGAUAUUACAAACGUGUCCACAUUUUCAUCACCGGACAAGAGUGAUGGCUACGUUGUUGUUGGAUUUUUCGGAAGGAGCAACAACUAUCUCGAGUCUGUUGGAGUAUCCAUCCAAAAGAUACAGGGAUAAAAAUGAAGAAAUGCAAUGUAUGGUGAUAAGGUGCUCCCAUCUUGAUUGUUGACACACCUCCAAUAUAAUUUACGUAUUUUCGAAUAAGCCACCUCUAUAUUUAUACUAUAUAUUAAAAAGCGUUUCUACAAACGUUUACAUGCCACGUGACGCUCUCCCUCAAUCCACAAAUCCAUGCCAUAUAUCCACUUUCAUUAUAUAGCAUAAGAUUUGAACCUGCAACGUCCACUUUCAACACUAGACCAUUAACCAAUUGAGCUACAAUCUUUUAGAUGUUAUCUAUGCAAAAUUAAAAUUAAUAUAAUAUAGAAAAAAUAUCAUCUAGAAAAAUUAUGUUUUGAAAAAACACAAACAAAAUUUCAUUAAAAAAAUAUGAUAAUUACUGUUAGUCACGGAAUAAUCCGGGACAUCGCCCGGACCUAAGGCCCUGUUCGGCAAAAGUAGCGGUAGCGGGUAGCGGUUCAGUAGCGGGUAGCGGUCAAUAGUAACGGGUAGCGGUCAAUAGUAGCGGGUAACGGUUAGCUGUCAAAGGUAGCGGGUAACUGAUAUGAGUGUUCGGUAAAAGUAGCGGUUGAUAUUAUAAAAUAAAAUAAAAGGUGAAAUAUUAUUUAAAACUUUAUUAUAAAUUUGUCAAACGCUACCCGCUACCUUAAACGCUACUAAUUUUAACGUUUGAUAAAAGCUACUCAACCGCUACCUCUACCGCUAACCGCUACCUAAAUUGCUACCUCGCCAAACACUUACAAAUUUUACAAGUAGCGUCUUGACUCGGUCAAAACGCUACCCGCUACCUCAAAAGCUACCGCCGAACACGCCCUAAAUACUAGUUUGUUUUAUAAAUUACGAGUGGGUACGUGGCCUCUCAAGAAUGAUUGUAAUCAUAAACUUGAGUGAAUGUUGUAUUACUGUUGUUUUUGUUGUCUUUGUAAUUUUGUAUGAUGUCUGUUGGCUAAACUACAUCUUUAUAAGAACUUUUUUCGCCUUUUAAAUCUUGUCACUUUUCAUUUAUUCUUUUUUAACCCAUUCUUGCUCUUGAUAAAAUAAAUAAAGUGACCCGUCAAAAUAAAUAAAUAAAUAAAGUGACGGGGCGUAUUCGGCGGUAGCGUUUGAGGUAUGGGGUAUCGUUUUGACCUAGUCAAGACGCUACUUGUAAAAUUUGUAAGUAUUUGGUAAAGUAGCGAUUUAGGUAGCGGUUACCGGUUGAGGUAGCGGCUGUGUAGCUUUUGUCAAACGUUGAAAUUAGUAGGCGUUUAAGGUAGCGAGUAGCGUUUGACAAAUUUAUAAUAAAGUUUUAAAUAAUAUUAUUGCUUUUAUUUUUAUUUUAUAAUAUCAACCGUUACUUUUACCGAACACUCAUAUUAGUUACCCGCUAAUUUGACAGCUAACCGUUACCCGCUACCAUUCACCGCCACUCGCUACUUUAACCGCUACCCGCUACUCAACCGCUAACCGUUAUCCGCUACCGCUAAUUUUGCCGAACAGGGCCGUAAGCUAGUUAGCUACAUUAAAAUUGGUUGUAGCCACCGUAACUAUUUUAAUCUCAACCCUUUAAGGGAAAUUUUAGCCAUACAUUUUUUAUCGUUAAAGUUGAAAAAUAUAUGUAAAAGAUUUAUUUUAAUCAAAAUCGCCUUUUUUUUUGUCUUUUAUAAUUUUAAUUAUCAGUUAGGAAAUUAUUUGCUCAUUCAAUGCUUUUUUUAACUUCAAAACCAGUUAAACAAGGUGUAAUACAUCAGGUUUGCAUUCAAUAAACCUUUUGCCGACAAUCAUAUGUUAA